This 468-nucleotide ribosomal RNA is filed under the name uncultured bacterium. RNAcentral's name for it is "partial 16S ribosomal RNA". It matches the Rfam family "Bacterial small subunit ribosomal RNA", at positions 28 to 507 of the family's 1533-position model. The record is from RNAcentral.
GACGAACGCUGGCGGCGUGCUUAACACAUGCAAGUCGAACGGAAAGGCCCUGCUUUUGUGGGGUGCUCGAGUGGCGAACGGGUGAGUAACACGUGAGUAACCUGCCCUUGACUUUGUGAUAACUCCAGGAAACUGGGGCGAAUACCGGAUAGGAGCUCCUGCUGCAUGGUGUGCGUUGGAAAGUUUCGGCGGUUGGGGAUGGACUCGCGGGUUAUCAGCUUGUUGGUGGGGUAGUGGCUUACCAAGGCUUUGACGGGUAGCCGGCCUGAGAGGGUGACCGGCGACAUUGGGACUGAGAGACGGCCCAGAAUCCUACGGGCGGCAGCAGUGGGGAGUAUUGCACAGUGGGCGGAAGCGUGAUGCAGCAACGUCGCGUGCGGGAUGACGGCUUUCGGGUUGUAAACCGCUUUCGACUGUGACGAAGCGUGAGUGACGGUAAUGGGUAAAGAAGCACCGGCUAACUACGUG